Molecule: ribosomal RNA, 468 nt
Filed under: uncultured bacterium
Lineage: Bacteria
Description: partial 16S ribosomal RNA
Rfam family: Bacterial small subunit ribosomal RNA
Source: RNAcentral
GACGAACGCUGGCGGCGUGCUUAACACAUGCAAGUCGAACGGAAAGGCCCUACUUUGGUGGGGUGCUCGAGUGGCGAACGGGUGAGUAACACGUGGGUAACCUGCCCUUGACUUUGGGAUAACCUCAGGAAACUGGGGCUAAUACCGGAUAGGAGCUCCUCCUGCAUGGUGUGGGGGGGAGUGUUUCGGCGGUUGGGGAUGGCCCCGCGGCUUCUCCGCUUGUUGGUGGGGUAGUGGCUCACCAAGGCUUGGACGGUUACCCGGCUUGAGAGGGUGACCGGCACCAUGGGGACUGAGAUACGGCCCAGCCCCCAACGGGGGGAGGAGGGGGGAAAAUUGGCAAAAGGGGGGGAAGCCGAAGGCGCGACCGCGGGGUGGGGGUUAACGGCCUUCGGUUGUUAAACCGCUUUCGCCGGUGAGAAGGGGUUUGUGACGGUAAUGGGUGAAGAAGCACCGGCUAACUACGUG